UUUUUUUUUUGUCAAUCAUAAAUUUUAAAUAUUAGUCAAAUAAAUAACAUGGUACUUAAAAAACUUAUAUGAGUAUAUUUUACAGAUUUACUUUAUCAAAAAAUUUUGAUAGUAAACAACAGUAUUCAACUUGAAAAAAUAUUCAAGUCACCUAACAGAAACCAAUUUUGGAUAUACUCGAUUCUUCUUAUUUUGUCACUACAAAGUUUUUUUGUGUCUCUUUUGAUGCACACUAAUAAUGUUGUAACAACACUAAAAAUGUAUCUAUAGUCCAAAAAAAAAAACAUUAAAAUUUGCAAGCAAAUAUGAGUCAUCAUAGAUGAUUAUCGUUGAUUGAAGUAAUAAAUUAAUGUGGAGAAAAAUAGAGUAGCUAGGGACCAUUGAAGAUUUUAAAGAAAGCACAUAGAUAAGAGAAACAAACACAUAUAUUAGACAAAUUUAUUUGUGUCAUAAGUAACUCUUAACAAAUAUAAUAAGAAAAAAGUAAUCUGAAAAUUAAUUUCUACAAAUUUAGAAACAAUACCAUACAAAUUACUAAAACUAUACCGAAAUUGACUAAAACUGAAACUUUGAUAUUAUGCCACUAGAAAUCUCUUUUUAUACAUACUAGAUCAUCACCCGUACUACAGUACGGAUUGAAUUUCAUUUAUUACAAAAUUAAUAAAUUUUAUGUUUUAGAAUAAAGUUGUGAUAUAUUAUAAUAGUAAUUGAAAAUAUAAUAUUUUUUUGUCAGUCCCUAUAUAUAAUAUUAGAAUGAAUAUAUUUUCCUUUUUUUAUAGUAUUCAAUUAUGGAUGUUUUCUUUAAGAUAUGAAAACGGAAAAUAAGAUUAUUUUUAAAAAUAAUUAAUAUUGUUUGAACAAUGAGUUGCUUUAUGUUAACAACCACAAAAUGAGAGUGCAUAUAAUUUAGUUAGAUCAAAAUCAAAAUAUCAUAAAUAAAUCGCAUCUAAAACGUAGAUUAUUUUGAAUUCCUUAAGAAAAUUAGCUAUUAUUUUGAAUUAAUUUAGGAAAUUGUUUUUUCAAAUUCUGAUUCAUUGGUUGUUGAAAUAGAGAUUUGUUUGAGCUAAUUAAGAAAUUUAUCAAUUAUUCACAUAAUCAAAUAUGUUAUGAACAUAUAUUUGGUAUAUAAUAAUACCAAAUUCAAUCUGUGUGUGGAGUCUAUAUUUUCAUUUUACAAUCCCUAUGAAAAUAUUGCGGCAUAAUCUAUUAUUUAUUAUUUUCAAAACUGCUUGCAGAAUCAAAUUUUCAAAUAUUUAGAAGUGUCAAACCUUAUUUAACUCAUCUCAUCAUAAAAUCUUAAAAUGCCGUCUGUUAUAUAAUACAUUACAUUUUACCCGCCGCCUAAUAUAAAUAUUUUAAACAUAUCUUUUUAGAAAAUCAAAUUAAUGUAUUUAUAAUUUUUUUUAUCUUUUUAAUCUAUUAAAUAUUUAUGAUAUUCUUUAAUAUAUUAAAUUAAACUUUUUUAAAAUGUUCCAAAUUAAAAUCUUUAAUUUUUUUUAUUGUAGUAUGUAAAAUUAUGAAUUAAAAAAAAUGAUAUGAAAUUAAAUAUAAAUAUUCAGAUAGUUAUAAGGAUCAUACUCAUUUCAUCAUAUAAUAUAUUAUAUUAAACCCGCCACCUAUUAUAAAUAUUUGUUUCAAAAAAUCAAAUUAGAGUAUUUAUACUUCAUAAUUUUUUGAUCUAUUAAGUAUUGAUGAUAUUAAAAAAAAAGAAUAUAUUACUCAAAUAUGAAUUUUUGAUCCGUUAAAUUUGUUCUUUCAUACUUUGAAUCAUUUAUAUUUGUUUUUAAAAAUUCAAAUCUUGGUAUAUGCAGAAAAAAAAUUUACUUUUUUUUUAAAUUAUAUAGAUUAUAUAAUGAUUUAUUAAAUAGAAUCAUAUAAAGAUGACAGGUGGAGUAUAAUGAUUAAUAACAAAUUAAUAUGGUAAGUUAGAUAUCAAAUCUUAUAUGUUCAUUUUGAAUGGUCAUUUUUUUAAAAGAAAUUAAUAAUAGAUUUGUUUUAUAAUUAAAUUAAAUUAAUUAAAUUGCAUAAAAUUGUAUUUGACUUGUUUAUCCUUAAUGAGUUGAAUUAAUUUAUUCUAUUAAAUUUUAUUUCUAAUGGUAUUUUAAGUAAAUUCUUACAAAGGGAAAUGUUAAUUAAGGGUAAUUGUAAAUUGUACUCCCCAAAUAAUAAUUGUAAUUAAGGGUAAUAUUCCACUUUGAACAAAAAAAAAGUAAAAAAAAAAACAUAUAUUCCACAUGAAAAUGACUUCUACGAUAAUGGGCUCCUCAUGGGCUUCGUUCAUGAUGUGUAAGAUCGGACACCAUGGUUACUGGUUAGGACUUAGGAGAAAUAACAAAAUAAAUCAUAUUGAAAAUGUGGUGAAUAAUGUUAGUUGUUGACAAAAAAAUAAUGUUACUUAUCUUGUUAUCUUCCCGCACUACUAAAAAAACUCAGUUUUCAUCUAACAAUGGUGGAACCUUCGUUCUCUCAACUCCUUGUCUUAUUUAUAAACUUACUCUUUCUCUUCACUACUCUCGGGUCAAGUGCCAAGACCCGAUUCAAGUAUUCGUUAGAAAAGCCUCACCACCCGCUUGACCCACUAACGACACCUGAAAUAAAGAGAGUCCAAACCAUUCUCUCGGGUCAUGAUCCGGGUUUCGGGUCCGGGUCAGCCAUCAUUCACGCCAUGGCUCUCGACGAGCCGGAGAAGCAACGUGUCGUCCGGUGGAAGAAAGGUGAUCGUCUCCCGCCGCGAAGAGCAGAGGUUCUUGCGAUGUCUAACGGCGAGAGUCACGUGCUCACUGUGGAUCUUAAUUCGGGUCGGGUUGUUUCCGAUUUGGUCAGCCCCACUUUUGGGUACCCGAUUCUUACCAUGAAAGACAUCAUCGCAGUCUCACAGGUCCGUCCGGUUUAAAUUGGAAUCAAAAUCUGAGUAAACCGGUUUAAUUAUUUAAAUUCAAACCAAAUCUUAGCAGACAGGUCUAAUUAUUUCCACAAUCCCAACUCCCCCAAAAGUGUAGGUUCCUUACAAGAGCAUGGAGUUCAAUCGCUCAAUCGAGGGGCGUGGGAUUCCAUUCUCCGGUUUGAUUUGUAUUACACCGUUCGCGGGUUGGUAUGGACCGGACGAAGAAGGACGACGAGUCAUAAAGAUCCAAUGUUUCUCAAAGCAAGACACAGUCAAUUUCUACAUGAGACCUAUUGAAGGACUUUAUUUAACCGUCGAUAUGGAUAAACUAGAGAUCAUCAAGAUUGUAGACAAUGGACCGGUUCCGGUUCCCAAGUCUACCGGUACGGAAUAUAGAUAUGGAUUUCUUAAUGAGACGGUACAUAUGGACCGUGUCAAUCCAAUGUCGAUGGAGCAACCGGACGGUCCAAGUUUUCAGGUUGAGGAUGGAUACUUGGUUAAGUGGGCGAAUUGGAAAUUUCAUAUCAAACCGGACCAACGUGCCGGUAUGAUCAUCUCACAGGCUACAGUUCGUGAUUCCAAGACAGGUAAUUAUAUCACAACGAAGUCCCUUGAAUUUAGUCAUUGUUACAAAUUGACGAAAAUAGUCUUCCAAGUUACAAUGGAACCCAAUUUGUUGAGGUUGAAACAGGUGAAGCAAGAAGUGUGAUGUACAAAGGUUUUGCGUCAGAGUUGUUCGUACCGUAUAUGGACCCAGGGACAGGUUGGUACUCCAAAGCGUACAUGGAUGCUGGAGAGUUUGGUUUAGGACCUUCUUCAAUGCCGCUUGUGCCGCUCAACGACUGUCCUCGAAACGCUUACUAUAUUGAUGGUUUCUUCGCUUCUCCUCAAGGCAUUCCAGUCCUUCAACCUAACAUGAUCUGCUUGUUCGAACGCUACGCGGGUGACAUUAGCUGGCGUCACUCUGAGAUUCUUCUCCCUGGUACAGAUGUAAUGUUAUAACACACCACUAAUAGUGUUUUCAUUAUAUAUGAUAUGUUACGAAGAACAAUCCUUAUGUAAAUGUAAUUUGCAUAUCGACAGAUAAAAGAAUCAAGGGCAAAGGUGACACUGGUGGCUAGAAUGGCGUGUUCAGUUGGGAACUAUGAUUAUAUAUUUGAUUGGGAGUUUCAAAUGGAUGGUUUGAUUCGUGUUACGGUAUGGUUACAUUAUGUAUGCUUAUCCAUUUAUAAUUUCUCUUAAUAGUUCUCAUAAUGAAAAACGUUAUAAAUAGGUCGCUGCCUCAGGGAUGUUGAUGGUGAAAGGAACGGCUUACCAAAACGUUGAAGACUUGGGUGAGAAAGAGGAGGAUUCUGGACCGUUGAUCUCAGAAAACGUUAUAGGAGUCGUCCACGAUCAUUUCAUAUCGUUUCAUCUAGACAUGGACAUUGACGGGUCAGCCAACAACUCGUUCGUUAAGGUUCAUCUAGAGAAGCAGAGAGUUCCGCCUGGAAAAUCAAGGAGAAAGAGUUAUUUGAAGGUCAAGAAAUAUGUAGCCAAGACUGAGAAAGAUGCUCAGAUCAAAUUGAGCCUGUAUGACCCCUACGAGUUCCAUUUUGUGAACCCUAACCGGCUUUCUCGUUUAGGGAACCCGGCCGGUUACAAGCUCGUACCUGGUGGUAAUGCUGCAAGUUUGCUCGAUCAUGAUGAUCCACCGCAAAUUAGAGGAGCUUUCACAAACAAUCAGGUACUCGGUUUAAGCUCCGUUUGAAAGGUUCAACAAACUUGAUGUAUAAUACUAUAAUGAAUGAAAUCUAUUGGUUUAGAUAUGGGUGACUCGGUAUAACCGAUCAGAGCAAUGGGCCGGAGGGCUUUUGAUGUACCAGAGCCGUGGUGAAGACACACUACAAGUUUGGUCCGACAGGUACUCACUUAAGCAAUAAACCAUACUUAAUUGCUCCUACUGUCUUGGUUAAUGGUUGACUAUAAGCUUUAUCUUUAACUGCUAUCGUGUGAUGAAACAGAGAUCGUUCCAUUGAGAACAAGGACAUAGUGUUGUGGUAUACACUAGGGUUCCAUCACGUACCGUGCCAAGAAGAUUUUCCAGUUAUGCCAACAAUAGCAUCUAGCUUUGAACUUAAACCGGUCAAUUUCUUCGAAUCAAACCCGGUACUUGGGAUCUCACCUUUCUUCGAGAAAGACUUACCACCAGUCUGUUGACCGGAUCCUUCAUCUUAUUUGACACUGCGCAUUUCAAAUGUCAUGUUUAGACUUUUCCGAUUAUGAUGUUGUGUAUAUUCUUUAAGAAAGGAUUAUUGAUAUAUUUUUAUGCAAUCAAAUAAUCUUGUGUUAUUCAAUUAUUUAGCUGAGACAGCAUCAAUUAGAUUUCUUAAGACGUAUGGUUUACCUUUAAUCAAGAUGAAGAGAAAGGCCUGAAAUCUCAGCUUCGAUCACCACUUUUGUUGCUUCAGGUGUUACAUCCAAGGGACAUCUGGUUUCAGCAAGUUAAUUGUCUAGUUAAAAACAACUCAAAACACAAGAAACGCAGUUAAGAAACGAUGAUGGAACACAAUAAUUGAUAAAAACGGUAAGAACAAAAUUUUGAGAAGAUUGGUCAUAGAUCUUGCAGUCUUUUGAACAUUACUUAGAUAAGAUUUCAUCUAAAUAGAGAAUGUUGCAGAGUUUUCACUCAGAAAGACUAACUCAGACAAAGAGAGAUCAAGAUCAAUUUCUCAUCCAUUGAUUGUACCACAUUGAAACAGCAAAUCAACAAGGUGUGUAUAUGGACGCUUUUUCGCUUGGAACUACAAAAUUCAUUAUCUUUGAGUAUCUUAGCUAGCAACAAAGUCAAUGGAGGGGCCUAUUGUUCCAAGGUCCUCCUUACAUAAAUCUAGCACAUACAAGAAGUUAUAUUGUUGCCAAAUUUAUAAUUCUUCUAGUUCGGCCAAAAUAUCAAAUCAUCCCUAAACACUGCAACAUUGUUCUUUUCUACACAAAUGUCUACUCAAGAUUGCAUCAAAACCAUAAAAAAGCAAACAUUUCAACAAAGAGCGGUAAGAGAAGAGCAUCUAAUCAGUAAUCACUAUUAUUCAGACCUAUCUGAACAAUUCCUAGAGUCAAAGCCGUGCUGAGGAAAACGAAACAAGAAAGAACUCGAUACCUAUUAGAAUUGGACCGAUUAUUGAGUAUGUUAGUCUAUCGGCGGUGGAGUACCAAACUUGAAAGGUGCUGCUAUACAUAAGUUAGAAAGGAAAAUGUCAGAAUAACGCAUUCGCAGCACAUGAAAUGCAAAGAACCAAACUGUAGAAUCUCAACACAAACAACUUAUCAGAAAUAACUGAAAACAGAAAACUACUACAGCAAGUUCACAACCUAUACUAAUGCAGGAAUUUUUACAACUAUACUAAUAGCCUUGUUGAGAUAACGAAAAUUCCCACGGUGAAAUGCCACAGAAUGUUCCAUCAGAAGACUGAUUCGAAAAGGGACUUUGCCAUUUUCGAUUCUUUGUUUCUAUACCUCUAACUGCCUUAAACACACUACGUUUUCUGAAACAUAUACCAAUAGCUUAAUCAAUUGAUCUCAGCAAUAAAAACACACACAACUAUUCUAUAAUUAAACACCACAGUCACUACUUUUUCCAAACAUAUGCCAAUAGAUUAAUCAAUUAGUCUUACUAACCAUCGUCUAAAUUAUAGAAUCCGCAUUAAUGAUAAAACUGACAUUGUAACUCAGAAGCAAAAAAACCCACCCGAAUCAGAGGCAAUGAGAGAAACAAUCAGAAGAUACGCUUGCCGCUUCAAAAUUCAACUCUACAAACGUUAAAAAAAAAUAGAAUCACAAAAUCCAAAUUCACGGACACAAAAUAGAUUUACGAAAAACGUUUCUUCGAAUCCUAAUUUUAUGCAAUUCGUCGAAAGGAUUAGGGAUUUGAUUAAUACUUAAUUCUAAGUUGGGCUUUUAAUGGGCCGAUAUAUGCUUUCAUCAAGAUCCUCUACUAUUUUCAACAUCGAAUGUCACAAAAAUCUUAAUAGAAAAUAGUUUAUAUAAUUCGAAGAUUAAAAGGGCGAAAAUAAAAAAAAUAAAAAAAAUUCGAAGAUUAAAAACAAUAAACAACAUGAAUCUAGAGAUCGUUACAACACAACAAAAUAAAUGGUAAUAUCAAGUUAGAGUUUUCAGAUAGAUUAAUACCCUAAUUAACUUGGAUUAAUCAAGCUGUUAUGAACUAAGAGAACUAACUAAAACAGGGGCCAUUCGAAUUCUUCUUCUUCGCUUAAGAAUUCACUGAUAUCGAUCAUAAACUCGUCUUCUUCUUCGUUGGUUGAGGAAUGAUCUUGAAGAGGAACCUCAAGGUUGUCGUUAAGAAGACCAAACACGUUGUCUUCAUCCUUAAAUAGAUUUUCCCAAAAGCUCUGAUCCUCAGUGAACAACGAUGGUGUCUGUGUUUCUUGAGGAAGACUCAUUCCGUUAUUCUCCUCCUCUGUUUCACAUAAGCAGUCAACAAAUCCAGGAUCUUCAUUCACCAAGUAACGAGAUUGAUCACAUGAGUACUCGCCAACAGAGAAGUUAGGGUUUUGAUCAUAACAAGUAACUUGUGACGAAGGCUCGCCACAUAACUUGCCAAGGGAGGUGUAAGAGUUCUGAUCAAAAGAAACAAUCUGUGAGGAAGACGGAGAAGAGGUACUAGGGUUUUGGCCUAAAUCAGAAGCAAUUUGAGAAGAAGAAGAAGAAGACCCACCAUUAUUGAAUAUCUCGUCGGUGUUAGGGUUUUGAUCGGAAUUAGAAACAAAUUGUGAUUUUUCUUUCUUCUCAAGACAAUCCAUCAGAUGCUUCCUCGUUCUCAUCAUACGAUCUUCGAUGGUAUUUAACUCAGAGAGAUCGUCACAAUAACGAUAUAGAUCAGGGUCUUCCCACCAAAACCCUAACUUGGAUUGAGAGUUAAUAAGCUUGGGAGGAGACUUGCCGUUGAGGUAACAAUCAACAAUUUCAGAGGCAGGAGAGUAGCCGGAGAAGGAGUAAACAACGUCGGAGUUCUCGUCCGGAGAGGUUACGAAGACGGCCAUGUUGGCUCCAGAGAGAAGACAGAGAUCAGCGGCUUUGGAGAAAAGUGUUGGACGGCGUUUGCUACAAGCCACCGAUCGUUGUUGUUUAGUGAAGCGUUUCUCAAUUUCGAUCUUUCUCUUUGUUCCUCUUUUCCUCAUUGUGCACUCAGAUACCUUCUUCGACGACAUUCUUAGGGUUUUGUUUUUUCUUAGAGAGAAGACAAGAGAGAUAAUGGAAUCGUUAAGAGAGAGAGAGAGAGUGAAAAAGAGUAUAAGCAAGGCGCAACAUAAAUAGGAUUAGAUAUCCUAAUGUCUUUUCCUUUUUCACUAUGUUUUUGACUGAGCCGAACUUCUGUAUUUUCCUUUUUUACUACUCGUAUACUUAUGUGCCUAUGAUUUUGUAUACACUUAAUUUAUUUAAAUUUACGAUUUUUUUUUUACAUCUAAAAAUUCAUUUAAAAGUUUUAUAUCACCUCUGGUCUUUGUAUAUCUAGGCACGGUUAUGAGUCUAAAAUCCUUCAGUUGUUUUAACGUUUUCAAAUUCGGUUUGGUUCUUUUUUUUCGGUUCGGUUUCGCUUCAGUUCUUAUGUUCCUGAUUUUUUCGCCCAGACGUAAUGUCAGAUGUGUGUAUAUGGACGCUUUUUACUAACUUCAAAUUCCAUUAUUUAGCUUCAUUCAUGCUCUUUGAAUAUCUUCCAGCAACCAUGUCAAUAGGGAACAUAACAAGACUUGUCUAUCUCACAUGAAUCUAUACAAAUACAAGAAAGUUAUACAAUUGUAUUGCUAAAGCACACAACUAUAGAAGAGAGCUUUCAAUUUCUUGUAGCCACUGUAACACACUAGUAAAAAAAAUACAUAUAGCCACUUCAAUAUUCAUAGCUGCACCUAAAAAUUUGUGGCUAUAAGUCAAUAUAGCCACGACUAGUCACUAAAACUAUUCGUGGCUAUAGCUUCGUAGCUUUAUUUUUCAUGGCUUUUCCUGGCUGUUUAGCCACGAAUUAGUCACGCGUAUUUCGUAGCUGAUUUAUCACAGAUAGCCACUUAAAUAUUCGUGGCUCUACAAGUCUACAGCCACGAAAAUAAUCCUGACUAAUUCGUGACUUUUUCGUAUAAUUUUAAUAAAAGAAAAACAAAAACAAAAAGGAUUAUUAUUUAUUAAUUAAAAUGUGAAAUUGAUUUAUUUAUAAAAUACAAUGAUUUUAACUAAAAAGAAAAAUUAAAACUUUACCAAAAAAAAAAAAAAAAAUUAAAAAAUGCUUCACGAGAUGUCUUUCCGUCAAGCAUCUUCGGUGGUCUCGUGGCGUCGGAUCUGGUGGUGGCUGGAGGUGGAGGGUGAGGGUUCGUCGGGCAUCAGAUCUAGGAGAUCUCAUUGUUGCCCGUUGAAAACAUUGCAGCAAUCGGAAUUUGGAUCAGACUCCAUGGCUGAUGUGACGGCGUCGUUGCGUUGAACUCCAGGGCUGAUGUCACGGCGCUGAUGCGUUGAACAUCGUCAAUGGUGGUGGUGGUGGUGAACGACGGCUUCAAGACGCGGUGGCGGAGGCUUGAUAUGCGAGAUCUGAAAAAAAAAAGAGAACAAAGAAAGGAUUAGUAUUCAUGGGAAAUAGAGAAGAAGAAAAAGAAAGAGAAAUUUACCCAGAAAAACAAAAAGGAAACAGGAGAAGAGAAGUAGAGAUCGUAAAAAAAGAGAGAAGAAGAAGAGAGUAAAUGCUUUUGUUGGGAAUGAGAAACAAAAUAAAAGGAAGAUUUAUGUCCGUUAGAUUUAAUGUUAUCAACGGUGGAUGAUCAACAAAACUGUGAUCCUCGUCAAUGUGGCGUAACCAAUGAGAAGCAAGUCUCUUUUAUUGCAUUUUGUCUAUAUUUUUUAUAACUUUUGUUUGUAUGUGUUUUUAUUAAAUACAUUUGUUUUUAUUUGUUCAAUAUAUUUAUUAAUUAUGGUUUCCAGUUUAGAAUUUAUAAAAUGAUGAUUAUAUUUUAAAACUUUAUUUUUAUUUGAUUUUAGUUUAUUAUACUGAUUAUGUUUUGGUUUAGGGUUAAAAAAUUGAUUAGAUUUCAAAUAUUUUGCUAUUUUCUUCUUAACAAACAACUGAUUUUUUUUGUAAAUGGUUCUAAAUAUUGGUUUUAUGUAAAUGUAAUGGUUAUAUUUUGGUUUGAUGGUUUAUGGUUUAAUUUCUAUAAUGAAUAUUUUAAUUAAAGUUUAGAUUUUAGGAUUUGGAGUUAAAGUGAGGGUUUGGGAUAUAGAUUUGAAAUGUUUGAUUUAAAAACUAAGAAUUAUAUAAAAGUGUUGGAUCUUAAUUUUAAUUAGGGUAUACAUUGGUAAUUAGAUUUUUGUUUAGAGUUUAUAAAUUUAGAGUUUGUCUUUAAGAUUUAGGUUUUCGUCUAGCCACGGAUUUUAUCUGUAGCAAAUUCGUGGCUAUAUAAUAAAAUAAAUUCGAAAAUAAAAUAAUCACGGAAAUUUCGUGGCUUUUUCGUAGCAAAUAGCCACGAAUUUGCUACAGAUAAAAUCCGUGGCAAAAAUUAGCCACGAAAAACCACCAGAAACCACGAAAAUUGUCACGUUAUUUUUUAGUGACUAAUUCGUGGCUGGUAUGAAAUUAGCCACGAAUGUCCAUGGCUAAACCGUGGUUAUACGGAAAAUUUCUACUAAUGACACUGUUCUUCUACACAAAUGUCGACUCAAGAACGGAUUAAAAUCACAAUAAAAAUUAAAUAAACAUUUUCAUCAAGAUCAUCAAGAGAUUUGCAUCUAAUCAAAACUGUUAUCAAAUAUCAACACAAACCGGAUUAGAUAAUACCCUUAAACCGGGUUUAUUUUAGACUCGCAAACCAAACAAUCUCUUUUCUUAUUGGAUUUUUCAUUAGUACAAUGACCAUUAUACCCUACUUAGACCGAGUCAUCAUCAUCCAUCUUCGUCUUCCCGUUCCUUCUUCUUUGUUUGAAUUUCUGAAAUUCACAAUUUCCCCCAAAUUGAGAAUCAAAAACCCUAGAAAUCUCCAUGAGAGAAAUCUUCUCUAUCUGAGUGCUAAAAUCCCAAAUGUCAAGGCUAAUGACCAGACCCAGCCGAUCAUUAAGCCCCAAUACGAAUCCAGAUCGAAUCGAAUCACCAACAAGCUCAAGAUCGGUGACGCAGACGACAAACGGAUCGCACCAAUUCGUGAUCCAAGGAUACAGUUUAGCUAAAGGAAUCGGAGUAGGGAAACACAUAGCAAGUGAUAAUUUCUCCGUCGGAGGUUAUCAAUGGACUAUCUUCGUCUACCCAGAUGGUAAAAAUCCAGAAGAUAACUCUUCUUACGUCUCUGUGUUCAUCGUUUUGGCUAGUGAAGGUACUGAAGUUAGAGCGCUUUUUGAGCUUGCUCUUGUUGAUCAAAGUGGUAAAGGGAAGCAUAAGGUUCAUAGCCAUUUUGAUCGGUCGCUUGAUGGUGGUCCUUACACGCUUAAAUAUAGAGGAAGUAUGUGGUAUGGCUUGAUUCUUUCUCUUAGUUCUUGUUUAUCAUAUGCAUAUUCCUGUGGAAAUUCGGUUUUCGUUGAUGGGUUAUUCAUAAAUUUUGAGUUAGAAACUUAAAUCAGUCUCAUUCGUGUAGUUGUGUUGGUACAUUUCGUUUGGUUGUGUUUGUAGAAACAUACUCUUAAAUACGUUAAGGUAAAAGUCUACUAGACUGGAUAGAGCUAUGCUAUGUGGUGAGAAUCCUGUGCUUGCUUAAACGCAGUCUCAUUUCGUUUGGUUGUGGUUGUAUGAUGACUAUUCUUCAUUUACUUUUGGCUGUGUUCUAUACUUAAGCAUGGAUUGUUUGAUAGUUGUUUUGCAAGUUUUACUGGAUUGUUGCUUUUAAUUGUUUUUGGAAUGUUGCUCUGUCAUUUCAGCUUUGUACUAUAAGGGAGGAUCUAAAUUUGAACUUUGUUUGUCAAUGGUGCAUGAUGUUUCAUGUUCAGUUUUGAAGAAUUCAGCUUUUCAUUUCUGUUUUACUCAGUUCAAUAAAGUUUUCAACUUGCUCAUAAUCAUGACUAUGGGUAUGGGUAGUUCUAUGUUCUAAGGUGUGUAAGCUAUCUGAAUUGUCAUAGUGUUUGUUCAGACAACCUUGUUAAGGUGCUUAACUGGAAAUUUCCUUUUUCAUUUACCUGCAGAAGCUUUAAAGUCUUGUCAGUAUCUUCAGUGGCCUAUUUUAUUGUUUUCACACUCAUUUUGCUGCUAUAUUGAACUGCUAACUCAGAGCCCUCAAAUUAUUGUGUCUUUUCUUUGGAUCUUGAUUAGGGGAUACAAGCGUUUCUUCAGACGUUCCUUGCUUGAGACAUCUGACUACCUUAAAGACGAUUGCUUGAAAAUCAAUUGCACAGUUGGAGUUGUUGUUUCAGAAAUACAUUGCCCACAAUUACUAUCAAUUCAUGUCCCAGACUCAGAACUUGGAUCACAUUUUGGAAAGUUGCUGGAUACUUUAGAAGGUUCAGAUGUCACAUUUGACAUUGCUGGUGAGAAGAUUCAAGCUCAUAAAUUGGUUUUGGCUGCACGAUCUCAGUUUUUCAGAUCGAAGUUUUACAAUGUCCCAGAAGCAAACAACAACGAGGUAGCGAUCAGCGAUUUGGAACCUAAGGUUUUCAAGGUACACAUUUCGAGUUUAUUGCUUCUCUUAAUAUUUUCUCUUCUGGUAUUAUUUGUCGUAUUUAUCCCUGGUAAUGUUCCACCUUAUACAGGCCUUGUUACACUUCAUGUAUAAGGAUUCUCUCCCAGGAAAUGUGGAACCAGUAACGGCUCAUUCAUUUGACCUAUUAAGGCUGUCCGAAAUAGAUGAUACACUGAUUGUAAAGCUUCUGGCAGCUUCGGAAAUGUACAAUCUGAGUAGGCUCAGAUUAUUGUGUGAAUCUCACAUCUGCAAAGCCGUAUCUAUCAGCUCCGUAUCCAAGAUCUUAGCUUUAGCCGACAAAUAUAAUGCAACUGAACUAAAAAGCGUAUCCCUAAAAUUCACUGCAGAAAACUUAGCAGGUACGAUCAAGAUCCAGCUUUAUGAGAUCAUGUUGAUAAAUAAUCUUCUCUAAGUUUGAUUUUUUUUGGCUGUCUUGGAAUUUAUAGCUGUUCUGCAGACAAAAGCUUAUGAAGAUCUGAAGGAUGACUGUCCAAACCUCCAGUCUGAGCUACUAAAGGUGGUGGCUGGUUAUGACGAAACAAGUAGCAGCGGAGGAGGAAAGUCUCAGAGUGUUUGGGCCCAACUCUCUGACGGUGGUGAGACCAGCAGCCGAAGAGUCAGGCAGAGAACCACUUAGAAGAGCUUCUUCUUCACAUGUUGUUGCAAAACAAAGUACAUUGUUACAUAUCUUUUGCUUACCACUCGUAAAAAGGUUAACCGGUUUAUCUUUUAUGGCCCGUGAUAUGUACCGAAUGAAAGGGAAGCGGAGUCGAACUCCUUUACCACAAGAGAAGAGCUAUGCGGCUGUGCACUAGUCUAGACAUUCUCGAUUUCUCGGUCAUUAACCGGUUCUUCACGUUUCUAUGGAUUUUUGUUUUUGUGUCUUUUUUUAGAAAGUCUUUUCUCUGUUUCGAAUUACUGAAAACAUAUGAUGAUCUAAUAAGUAUCUAACUCUCUCUGUAUGUAAAAGAAAGAGUUAAGUAUAUUCCUGUACGGAAGUUAUAAUCUUGCAACUUAUAACAAAGAAUCCUAGGUUACACAUUUUGAGAAUGCCUUCAAAUGAUACAUAUUAUGCUCAAAUUCUUGCAAAUUUCCUUUGCCAAUUAACGAAAAUAGAAAUUUUCCUUUGAGAUUGUUUAAAGUUUAAACUAAUGACAUUUUUGAACACUUUCUCUCCUUAUUUUCUGAACGUUACCAUUUUUUGUUUACCAUGAAUUUCCAUAAUUCCUUGCAAAAAAAAAAAAAAAUACGAAUUUCCAUAAUUUCUAGUUUCCAUCAUAUACCAGUAUAGGUUUUGUUUUAAUAAAUAAAAUACCUCAAUUAGGUUAUUGCAAUUAUUUAAUAGUACAAUAUUACAAAGUUGAAGUGUAUAAAUAUGUAUUGAUGACUUCUAUAAAUUGCUUGGACCCAAAGCUACCUAAAAUCUCCUUUUUCCAUGUCUUUAUUUUUUAUUAAAUUUAAAUAUUGACCCAAAAGUCCAAAACAAAUAAGAGGAUGAACAGAAGAAAAGAAAAUGUCCAAACUCCAAAGAUACGACCAUGCUCAAAGUCAAAAUCGUGUCCGUCGAAUAAACAAAUAAAAUUCCUUGCUCUCCAAGUCAUAAACCUAUAUAAUACUUAAAAAGAACAAAAUCAUAAGGGAAAAAAACAGCAAAAUCAACCAAUUUACUAAACUAUUAAGUUUCCUUUUAUUUUCAUCAAAACAACUUUCCAAAACCUAAUAGGAAUCAGCUAGAUUUGGCCUCUCUCUUCUCUAUAUAAAUAAACACAUCUACGAAACUCUCAUAAUUAGUUUUAGUUAGUGUUUUGUGUUGAACCAAGAUGGCGGAAGCAACAAGCGGUGAAGAAAGGAUGUGGUGCGGUCACUGCUGUGUUGAAACUCCUAUCCGCCGUGAAGGAAACGCCGGUUCUGUCAAGUAUGUUCUCCCAUCACAUUCUUUUUUUUUUCCUAUUUUGAAAGUUUAUAAUUAUAACUUGGAUAUUGAAAAUAAUUUUCGCAGGUCGUGUAAUUGGUGUGGAAAAGUGCUAGCAGAUGAAACUGGAACCGCUGAUGAAUAUAAUCAACUCUUUCUUCGACUUCAAGCUUUACAAGACUAUGUUUCUGUUUACAACAAGAGGAGGACUCGGCGUAUCAAGAAACAAUAAAACUGAUAAUUUUAUCUUUAUGAUUUUUGUUAAGGAAAAAAUCUGAAAAAACCGUCAUUUAUUUUUAUUUGUAGUUUUAAAAUUGGAAUAAAAAUAGUAAUAUACCUCGUUUAGUUGUUGUUGUUUUUUAAAUUUUUCGUUUUUUAUAUUUUGGUAGAUUCGUACCUGCGCGUUAACGGUUGUUAACGAUGGUAACAGAAUCGCUAACUGCAGUUAAAAUUUAAUCCAGAAUGUUUACGUAUAUAUAUAUACAAUCUCUUUACAAACAUAUACGAAUAUAUUGUCUUAUUUAUGAUUUGAUUAUUAAUAUUGUGUGUGUUUUAUUGUAUAUAUGAAAAUGUGUAUGUGAAGUGUUGAAUUCGAUAUUGUUAUGAAUGAGGCCCAUAUAUGAAACCCAACUAUUGACAUAUUAUAUUAUUAUUUCUGGAAUUGGGCUUAGAUAUAGGAAAUUCUUAGCACAACUGUUUAAUAUUUGUCGGUUCAACAACAGGAAAAAAAAAGAUAACGAAAACGAAAAUAUCUUCAAUCUUAUUCUGCAGCGAAAUCAAAAUUUUCCAGAGACCAAUCAAUUGAGAGAUUGCAUCUCCGAUUUCUGUCUUAGCAAGCAAAAUUAAUGGAAUUAAAAUCGAAGAGGUAAGAAAAAUUUAUGUUUUUCAUCUAUAAGAUCUAUAUAAAUUGCAAUCGAUUCGAAUUCAGAACUUACAAAUCAAUAAUACAUCUUCGAAAUUAAGUUGUUAUAGUAGAUGAGAUAAGUUUAAUUAUACGAAAAGAUUGGGUUGUAGAUUGUGCAGAUUGAUGUACUGUGCAAGGUCAAACAAAAUUCGGAAAUAAUUCCUCUAUAUAUCGAUGUAGUUAGUUUUCAUUGAUGUGUAUCAGUCCCUUGAUAUUAAGUUUAACAGGUGAUGUAUCUGAAUAUAAGAUAGACGAAUUUUAUGCAUUUAUUUGAAUCUCUGUUGGGAAAGUAUUGUUAGAAAAUUUGGUUUUGUUUGGAUGGUAUUGUAAUAUGAACAGGUAAAUAUAUGCUUUAAAGAUAUGUAUUUGAUUAAAGGAAGAGCAUAAGAUAAGACUUAGUAGUAAAGUUGACUGGAAUUGAAUUAUUACAUAGUAGUAAUAAGAUUUUUAUUAUUAGAAAACAUGCUCAGUAAGCAAUUGAAGAUAGAAAUAAGCAAAGGUGCAAAGGUCUGAUACCAUUGAGACUUGUAAAAACGUUACUAAGAGCCAUUUGUGAGAAAGAGUUUGUUUGAUGGAAGUAAAGUUGAUUGGUAAUGAUUUGUGUUUAUACGGAUGGCUUGAUCAUAUAUUUAUACUGGGAACGCAUAUAUUAAGAGAAGUAGGGUUUAUGCAUAGAAUAUUCGUCAAAAUAUAUUCAACGGCGAGAUUGUAGGAUUUUUUUGAUUAGGGAAAACUUAAAAAAGGAAGUAAUAUCUCAACAAAAUAUAUGAUAAAGGUUUGAUAUAUAAUUCGAUUUUGUAUUAUGGAGAUUUUUUACGAUUCUACUUGUAAAUAAAGUAAGUAAGAUUGUUUGGGAGAUAAAUUAGGUAUUUGUGCACAAAAAAAGAUUAUUAAGAUCUCAACGAUUAAUUUUGCAUAAUCUUAUUUCCAUAAGCUGUUGAACGCAAUUCUCCUUUUUGUUAGGUAAUUAAUGCUCUUUUUUCGUAAAUAAUGUUUUAGGGUCGUUUUUUCCGAGUUUAAUAUUUUGUAAAGUUUGUAAUUAUGUCUAGAAGAUCCGAUUAGUAUAUUUCCGGGUCAUUCUUAUUUUUUUCAAUUUUAACCCGAUCCAAGUACAUUUGUACUUCUUUUAAUAGUAUAGAGAUUAUCAUUGUCUAAGCCAAUUGAGGCACAUCGUUAACUGGCUAAACGGAGCAAUCAGACGAUGUCAUCACAUAGUUUUUGAAGAUGAAGAUGGAAAUCAUGUUGGUGUAAAAGAAAAAUUGUGCGAUAGUUUUGAAGUGCCAGUUAUUCGCUGACAUCAUCUUAUUGAUCCGUUUAGCCAGUUAACGAUUUGCCUCAAUUGGCUUUGUCAACGAGAAUUCAUGAUUAAAAUGAAAAUCAACAUAAAAUUAAGGAUUUAAAUCACCAGGUCUAGAGUUCAUGCUUUAAACCAACGAAAAUGUUAAACUGAUGAUUUAAAUGACAUUUUUCUCUUUGAAUAUCCACUUUUUUAGGUGUUUUUGUUUUUUCACUUCGUCUUCUUCAAAACUAUCUGUUCCACUAUAAACCCUAGAUAUUAUUUCUCAAUUUCUUGUUAAUGUGACGGAGGAAAUAAAUAAGAAUUCAUGUGAAUUUUAAAUAAGCCAUAAAAAAUCGGGAAUUGAAAUUAGGGAAAGACAGAGAAAGAUGAAGAACAAAGGCCAUUCUUUUUUAUUGAGUGCUUCGUUGGAGCUAUUGAGACUGCCUUCUUUUAAUACAGCGACCGACGUUGUUGAUUCUAAGGUCUGUAACUCACCGAGAUCGGACUCCAAGUAAUUUUGAUGAUCUCAUUCUAGAGGCAUCUGUUCAGAUCUUGUGUUUCUAUGUUACUUGAUUCCAUUAUUCUGUUAUAAAAGACGAAGUCCGAUUUAAAGUGAUUGAAAUUGAGAAGUAAGAAGAUUUAGGAUUCAUAGUGUGAAAAGCGAACAAAUAGAUUUGUGAAGAAUGAAGAAGACGAAGUUAAAAAACGCCUAAGAAUGACAGAGCCAGGAUUCAAACUCAACGCGCAGGUACGAAUCUACCAAAAUUUUUAAAAAGAAAAAUUUAAAAGACAACAACAAUUAACCGAGGUAUUUUUAUUCUAAUUUUAAAACUACACGUAUUAAACAACCAAAUAUAAAAUAGAUGGCAAUUUUUCCGGAUUUUUUCCCGCUUUUGUAAGUAGGAUUUCAAACAUAUAAAUCUGUUUAUUUUGGUCGCUAGAUAAAAUACUGAUAAGGAUAUGUUUAUCUUCCUAUUAUUUUGAGGGAUUUUGAUGUGUGUCAGGUUUUAAAAUCCUAAAGAACACAACGAAUAAGCUGCAAGUGCACAACAAAUCAGUCGUAGUACUUAAGGUAUCGAAUCCACAGAGAGAAAAGUAGUUCAGACAAGUUUAUUAGAACGAGUAAAGCUAGGACAAAACAAUAAAGAUGGAUUGGUUGUGGUGUCACGAUUUGCAAGUAAAAGUAAAUAAGAAAACAAGUAAAUAAACGCAAGAAAACUAUGAGAGACAAACGUUGGGCAUCAAGGGUACCGCAGGGGGUUCAAUGGUCGCUAUCUAAGAAUUACUAGAAUUAGGUUUGUUUGCUUCCAAGUCUCGGACAUACGAAACACUAAGAUUCGGCUUAUACUAGGUUAUAGAAUAAGUCGGCUAAAAUCCUUAUACUCCGUUACUCAACUUAGACAGGCAACGACGCAUAUAUCAAAGCAAUAAGAUCCAGUUCGAUUCUAGUCCAUAAAGCCCUAUAACUAAGUGGUGUGUGCUUGUUAUAACACGAUACACAUUCGUAAUCUAGGUCUAGCGAAUUAAGAAACCUUAUGAGAAACCUAAACGCUUGGGAUCACGAGGACAUGAAUCUAACUACUUGAAUUAAGAAACAACUUACUUAGAAAGAAUACAGUGUAAACGAUCAAACAAAACCCUAAGUAUCGCCACUUAAACGAUCGAUCAUAUUCCCCCCUUUGAUUAACCCUUUAAACCCAACUAGGAAACUACUCUAGCAUGAUUAAAGAGAUCAUCAAAGUAAGGUUUGAUAAACUCAUAAGAAAGAGAAGAAUAAGAACUAAAAAGGGUUUAGAGAUUACUUCAAUGAUUGUAGAAUACAAGAGGUAAGACUUCACCUUAAUAGAUCUUAAAGUAGACAAGAGAAGAGAGAGAGAGAUUCGGUGGAACUUCAAAGCUUCAAGGUCGAUGGCUGCAGCUCUCCGGCGAGGGCAGAGGCGAGCUUGAUGGAGACUUUAGGGGCACGAUUGAGGCACUUCGAAGACUCCCCUAGGUUUAGGGCUUCCAACAUAUAUUUAUAGGGUUUGGAGACAAAGGAUUAGGUUUAGGGGUAAAAGCAUGUUUUCCCGUGAUUAGGUUAAGUGAAAACUCGAGUUUCUUGCAAGGGAGAAGUCUUAGUGGCCGGUGUGGAGAGUGAGAGGCAGCCUGGGCUCGGCCCAUGUGACCGGUGUGGCUUAGAAGCUCCGGAUCGGUUGCGUAGCUUCUGGCCGGUCUGGAUAUGUCUUCACUCUUCUGGUCGUAACUUCCGGACGGCUCAAUGAAAUGCUCUAAUUCCACUUCGAGGCAAAUCCUGACUCUUCUAGCUUUCCAUAUAUACUGAGAUCUCUUGAUUUAGUAACCAGUAAGACCUUGAACGGAUGCCAUACAUAUGAAGUACAGAAACUGUCUUGAAACGGGUUUUGAUCGCCUUUUGGUCUUUAAAGCUCAAAAACUCUUAAAACCUUCUUGGCUCCAUAAAUACUUGAAUAACUCCUUCUUAGCUCUGAAAUCACUCCAAAUGCUCCAUAAAACAUAAGAAAACAAUAACAAAUAUGGGCGAAAAUCCCAUGUUAUCAGAUUUCUUCUCCGAAGAAGAUGAAUUUAACCUGGUGUGGAUCUCGCCCUCUGAGAGAAAGGUAGGCCCUUCAAACUUGAACUUCUAGAUAUUAAAAAAAAUAUAUUCAUAUUUGUUUUAGGAAAAAACCCAAAAAACCGCCGUCUAUUUUUUAUUUGUCCGUUUAAUAUGUGUAGUUUUAAAUUGAAAUAAAAACAUCUCGUUUAUUUUUUGUUGCCUUUUAAAUUCAUAGUCUUUUAAAUCUUGGUAUCUUCGGACCCGCGACUUAACAGCCGUUAAUGGCCGUAACAGAACUAUUUAACAACUUUAAAUUUUAACCCUUCAUGUUUAACAAUAUAUACAAUCGGUUUAUAUUAUAUUACGAACUGUCUUGGUCUAGUGGUAACUCAUAUCUUGUUUAAGGGGAAAAAACCCGAAAAACUGCCGUCUAUUUUUUAUUUAGCCGUUUAAUAUGUGUAGUUUUGAAAUUGGAAUAAAAAUACUUUUAAUUUUUUUUACGGAUUCAAUUCCACCACCAACCCUUUUAAUAUUUUUUCUUUUUUACUUCUUUUGAGUUUCACUUCAUCUUUUGCCCCUCUUUCUUCACUGAUUUUUCUUUCUUCUAAAUAAGAGUCUUUUGUUUUUUUUUGGCCUCCUCACCUUCUUCACAAAACAUAAACUCUCUCUUUACAAAACGCCAGAGUCACCAAAAACCCUAAAUUUUCCUCUGCUUCAAUGGCGAUUUCAUCUCCCGCCGCUACUUCUUCCUCUUCAAAACUCCUCAUUUCCUUCACUUUUCCAUCAAUCUCGACCAUUAAACCAAAAUCCCUAACUCUCUCUUCAUCCUUCCUCCCAUCAAUCACAUCUCUCUCCAUCACAACCACCAAGAAAAAUGUUGAGAAUUGAAUUGGAAAAAAAAAAUCAAUUACAGUGACGGAAGUGAAAACUCUGUGAAGAAGACGAAGUUAAAUUAAAAAAAUGAAAAAAAAAUUUACAGUUACUGAAGUGAAAACUCCGUGAAGAAGAUGAAGUUAAAUAAAAUAAAAAUAAAAAAAAGGUUAAAAGAGUUGGAGGUGGGCUCAAACCCGUCAAUUGAGGGUUAAUCAAGAAAAUGAUAACCACUAGACGAAGAUAUUAUAUUCUUUAUAUUAAGUAAAUCGAUUGUAUAUAUAUAGAAAACACGAAGGGUUAAACUUCAACGUUGUUAAAUAAUUUCACUACGGCCAUUAAAGGCUAUUAAGUCGCGAAUCCAAAAUUACCAAGAUUUUGAAGAUAAUAAAUUUAAAAGGCAACAAAAAAUAAACGACAUAGUUUUAUUCCAAUUCUAAAACUACACGCCAAAUAAAAAACCGCCGUCAAUUCUAAAAUGUACAACAUCAAUAUAUAGUUUUUUUUGUUUUUUUUUUUUUUCUAUAAAAAGUCUUUUGAUCUUCACCAAAAAAAAAGUCUUUUGAUUGUUCCAGCUUUAACAGGAAAAAAUUUGAAACUAAAACUGAUGAAUAUCUUACGACAGAGAUAUUAAUAAUCUGACAGAAACAGAAAAGUUAACGUAACAGACCGUAUGUUUCACUGGUUCAGUUUUAAUGAUGUCAAUACAGUGCUUUUAACAUACGGGGCCGUAGUACUAAGUACUAACAUUGCAAUUGAUUCGAGAUUAUACCUAGCAAAAAAAACAACACGUUCUACCAUAACCCACCAAAAGAAAAUCAUGACGAGUUUGAAACAAAACUAAACAAAGAACCAUAAAAAAUGAUAUUCAAUUUAACAUAAUUUAGUAGAAUGAAUUACAGUGGUAUUCAAUUAGGUAUUUUAUAAAUUCUUUUAAAUUCAUAUGGUAUUAGAUAAAGUGUUUGUGAUCAUCCUUUUAAAUUCCAAUGUUAUUCAAUUUAUUAAAUUUUUAAUUUUGUUAAUAUAAUUAUUAUUUAGUAUUGAUAUCAAUAUUUCCUAAAAGUACUCUUAGAUUUAACUAAACAUUGAUUAGACCAUAAUAAAACUAUAGAACCAUAAAGUGCUAAUUAAACAUAAGAUGAAGAUAAAAAAGACAGACAAACACACACACCACAAGCUAAUACUUGCAAACAUAAUUAAAACCAUAAUUAAACAUAAGAUAAAGAAAAAGAAAAAGAAAAAGAAAAAACAUACGAACACACUAAUACUUGCAAACAUAAAACUAUAGUUAAAUAUACGAUGAAACCCUCAUGGUCGAUCACUUCCACUAGUCGAUGGCCAUGACUCGCCUCGUGAGCACUCGCCGCCACUGUCUCCCAAAGGUAGGAUGCCUUGGUGCCAUCCGGUUCGAGUAAAUCCAAGAUCUUGUUGAAGUGAUGGAUGAUCGUUUAUGACGGUAAAAUUAUAAUUUUCCGAUCUAUACGUUGAUGUUCUCCACCGCUUCAUCAUGAGUGAGGAAGCGUCUCAAACUGUCAAGAUAAGCAUUUAAGAUCAGUGGGGGUAUUCUGGGCAUACCACUGCGCCCUCCAUUGUUCGCCGAGUGGAUGAGUGAAGUUACGGAGGUUCGAAUGUCCUCACUAACUCGUUGGGAUCUUGGUUUCUUUUAGAAAGAGAUUUGGCUCCGAAUGGAGGAAGCGGUUCAAGUGGAGCGGAUCAAGUGGUUCAAGCAGAUCAAACAGAACAAGUGUGGAUCAAGCGGAUCUGGUGGUACAAGAGCGGAUCAAGUGGUUCAAGUGGAUCAAGCAGAACAAGUGUAGAUCAAGCGGAUCUGGUGGUACAAGAGCGGAUCAAGCGGUUCUGGUGUUCCAAAACCUGUAUUUGAUUGGUGAAAGCGGAUCAAAUAGUGCGGAUCAAAAUUUUAUAUAGUAAUAAAGUCAAUUUUAAAUUAAAUAUUUUUAUAGAAUACUAUACAUAUUAAAUUAAAUUAUAUUAGAUUAAAAGUUUUUAGUAGUUUAGCAUAUUUUAGAACAACUAUUUUUUCUAAUACAAUGUAUAAAUAUUUAUAUUACAUUUUUGAACAUGUAUCCAAUUUUCUUAUUAUAUAAUAUUAUUUACUAUUUUAGAUAUAAUAUAAUACAUCAAAUGUUAAGUACAACAAAUAACUAUAUUUUAAAUAAUCAUACAAUAUUUGGAAAUAUAUAUAUAUAUACUACAAGAAAACCUGUAUUUUGCAACUAACUUUGCGACCAAUUUGCGAUUAUUUCCAGACUAAUUUGCGUUAAUGACGAAAUAAAACACAUAUAAAAAAUAAUUGCAAUUCAGCGAUUAAACCUAACAGUCGGUAAUUCGUCGUCCUUUAGCGACGGUUGUGCGACCGAUGACAGACUAAUAUGUUUUAGUCGCAAAUGAGUCGCAGGUUUGCGAUUGAUGUGCCACUCGGUAUUUGGUCAGAAAUGAUGGUCGCAAUUUAGUCUCAAAAGAGCGACGAUUUAACAACCACCUGUUAUAGGUACGCUUUAGUUGCAAAUUAGUUGGAAAAUUUUGGUACAAAACACGUUGAAAUUGCAGAGGAGGUAGGUGUACUGAACUUUUGUGACUAUGUGAAAACGGACGCAAAAUAGUCACAAAUUUAAGCCUAUAUAUACCACCCCUCAUUCAUUUCAUUUCUCCUUCCCACUCUUCCAUUCUCCCAUUUGUAAGUAAAAAAAAAAAACAAAGAGAAAGAAGAAGAGAAAAUAAAAUAAAAAAAAAGAAAAAGAGAAGAAAAACAAAGGGAAAAAAAGAAAAAAAAAAAACGAUGUGGAAUAAUCUGUCACGAGAAUGGAUGUACAACCGAAUCGAUCCAUACACAAAUCACAUUGCGGCGGACUAUUUGGCGGGUGUGGAAGCGUUCAUCAGUUAUGCAAGCCAUGUUGAAGACAGAAAAGGUCGGUUUUUAUUAUGUCCUUGUGUAAUAUGUCAAAAUUCGAAACCCGUGAAAGCUGUUACGGUAUCAAGUCAUUAGCUUAGUAGAGGAUUUAUGCCGAAUUACUAUGUAUGGUAUAAGCAUGGGGAGGAUUAUAAUGUUGUUGGGAAGGGUACUAGUAACUAUGUUGAUAAUACCAAAUAUACUAGUACUGUUAAUGAACCAAUAGGCUUUGAUGGGAAAAAUGUAUUUGCUGGGAUGGUUAAUGAUGCUUUUCAUGGUUCUGUACCAUAUAACGAGUAUCAUGAACAUGAAAGUGGAAACGAUCAUGUUCAUGAAGAACCCACCCAAGAUGCAAAACAAUUUUAUGACAUGCUAGCUGCCGCAAACACUCCACUUUACGAUGGAUUUAGGAAGGUCAAUCGCAAUUAUCGUUGGCAGCUCGGUUCAUGAACAAUAAGGUGGACCACAAUUUGUCAGAAACUAGCAUGGACGGAUGAGCAGAAUUGUUUACAGAAUAUUUACUAGAAGGUAAUCAGGCGACCGAUUCCUACUACAAGACAUAGACUUUGAUGCGAAAGCUAGGAUUGCCGUACUAUACAUAUGAUGUAUGUAUAGAUAAUUGUAUGUUUUUUUGAAAAUAUGAUGAGAAGUUGGGGAAUUCCAAGUUCUGCGGAAAACCAUGAAAAAAGGAGAGUGAAGGAAGAACAAGAAUACCAUUUAGUAAGAUGUGGUAUUUAUCGACUGGGGACAGAUUGAAGAGAAUGUACCAAUCUGGGAAGAAUGCAGCUUCGAUAAGAUGGCAUGCUGAGCACGAAUCGGAAGAAGGAUUAAUGUGUCAUCCAUCAGAUGCGGCUGGGUGGAAGAAUUUCCAGCAACUGCAUCCUUCAUUUGCCGAAGAACCGCGAAACGUUUAUCUUGGAUUAUGUACUGACGGUUUCAAUCCGUUUGGUAUGUCCAAAAAUCAUUCGUUGUGGCCAGUGAUCUUGACGCCAUACAACUUGCCUCCGGAUAUGUGCAUUAAAAGUGAGUAUUUGUUUUUGACGAUUUUGAAUUCGGGACCAAAUCAUCCACGAGCCAGUCUUGAUGUUUUCCUUUAACCACAAAUCGACGAGUUACAAGAGUUGUGGCAUAAUGGAGUUGAGGCAUAUGAUGUGUCCUUAGAUCAAAACUUCAACCUUAAAGCGGUUCUUUUGUGGACUAUUAGCGAUUUCCCAGCAUAGGGCAUGUUGUCGGGAUGGACUACUCAAAGUCGAUUAUCGUGUCCAAUUUGUAUGGAGGAUAGAAAUGCAUUUUGGUUGCCAGGUGGUAGGAAGACUUGUUGGUUUGAUUGCCAUAGAAGAUUUCUUCUUGUAAAUCAUUUGUUACGGAACGAUAAAACGCACUUUCUAAAGGGUAAGGGAGUGAAGGACUACCCACCGCAAUCUUUGACUGGUGAACAAGUAUUAUAUGAGCGUAUAAGGUCUGCCGAGCCACCUAUGACAUCUAAUUGCGGAGGAAAUGAGCAUGAAAAAAAGUGGAUGGCUAUGGACAAUGGCAUAAUUGGCACAAAGAAAGCAUUCUUUGGCAACUUGAUGUGUGUCAGGUUUUAAUCCUAAAGAACACAACGAUAAAGCUGCAAGUGCACAACAAAUCAAUUGUAGUACUUAAGGUAUCGAUCCCACAUAGACUAAUAAGUUACAGGACGAGUUUUAUGAAGAAGGAAUAUGUCUAAGACAAAUCAAAAGAGGGGUUUGGUUUUGGGUUUUGUAACUAAAGUAAACUAAAAAUAAAUGCAAUGUAAACGAUUAAGAGAUAUCAAUAAAACGAAUAUCGGGCUGCAGGGAAUUCUUAGGGUAUCAUGGAUUGAAUCAUGUUAGGAAAUCAAACGAGGAAUUUCGGUUAUUUAUGUUCAGGAACUAGAAUUUUGAUUAAGAGAUUGGUCUACUCCCAUAGCACCAAUAACUAUGUCUAAACACCCUAAAUUACUCUAUUUCCGCAGGUAAUCAAGAUGCUAAACAUGCAUAAACAAUCCAAAUUCAAUAUGUUCACAAAGCUUUAUAACUCAACUUUCGGUUGGUUAUAACGCUUUGCUGAUCUAAAUUACUUUAGGCGAUCUAAAUCUAUCCUAAUUGCAGUAGCUAGACGGUCAAUCAAGCAGUAAGCAUCAAAGUAAACAUAGAGUGGUAAAUAAUAAACUAGAAAACCUAUAUCUAAUCACCCUAAAUAACGAUCCAUGAAUCCCCUUUCGAAAACCCUUAAACCCAACGAGAGAACUACUCACACAUACUCAUAGAAAGCAAAACCAUAUGAAUAAGAGAUUGCAUAAAAGAGUAUGAAUAUGAAAAGGGUUUAGAGAUCUUCUCUGGAAUACAAAGUAGAUGAAUAGAGAGAAAAGAAGAAGAGAAAGUGUUGUGGUGGUUGGCGGCUUCACCGGCGGCAAUCGGUGAGGAACGACGGUGAGGGAGCUUUGGAGGCUUCUCUGUUCGUCUCUAGGAGGCUGCUGAUGAUGGAGGUCGAAGACACCCUAGGUUUAGGGUUUACAACUUGUAUUUAUAGGCCUCGGGAAGUAACAAGUCGGUUUAGGGUUUUCUCGGCAAAACUACGUAGUUUUAAUAAGUGCAGAGACAAGACGGCUUAGACAGGUCACGAGGCUCCAUGACCGGGCUCACCAAGAAGAUCCACACCGGUCACGUUGGGUUGUGACCGGUGCACCCAAGAGCUUCACCACCGGUCGCACGCCUUGCGACCGAUCUCUGACAGGUUGACUUCUGUUUGGCAGCUGGGAUUGAGUUGAUUCUUCCUCCAUUGUAAUCUUGACUCUUCCAGCUUUCCAUAGAGUCCAAGAUAUCCGAAUUUUCUUCACGGAAAGGCCUCCAACGGAUGCCUAAAUUCUGGAGCUUCGAAUCUAUCCUAAAACGGGUUUUGCUCGUCUUUUGGUCCAUUUUGCUUAGAAACUCUUAAACCUUCUUGACUCCAUAAAAUACUUGAAUAUCUCCUCUUUAGCCUUGAAAUCACACCAAACACUUCCUAAAACAGCAUAAAACAUUAAGAAAUAUGGGCGAAAAUCCCAUGUUAUCAACUUCCACAGACUUAGACUUUGCUUGUCCUCAAGCAAACAAGAAAGCAAAUCCGGUGGAGAGGUUUAGAAAUCUCGGGAACUCUCCUAUGAACAGAGACCAUGUUCCAAAAGAUAACCUGCAGACUUGUAAAUACAAAGACAUCGCGUUAGAACAUUCUCACUAUAGACUCACCACAUUCACAAUCCUGGUCCAUCCAUCUCAAACCUACAAGAAAACUCUAAAAUCACGUUAGUUAACUCUCUACAUUCAUUAAUAAGGUGGCGUAGACUUUCUCAAUAGGAGGCAUCAUUCAGGGUAGACGGCGCUUGGUAUGAAAGGGGCUUUUUGGUGUUUGGUGGUGGAGUUAAAGUGUUUAGGGUUACCGUAUAAUCUCGAGAAUGUAGGAUAUGUUGCAAAACCGCAAGAGAGAACGGAUCUGUUGAGGUCCACAGUUUGCAACCACUUUUUCUUGUAAACACCUCAUCUCCUUACUUCUUUUCGUCUUUUCGAUUCCCCCAGACUUAGGCUUUUCGUGGGGAUCUCUUUGAAUGAUUACAUCUCUCAUCUAAGUGAUCCAUGUCUUUCCUUGGGAUUCCUCUGUACUUAUGAGACUUCUUAUUUCGUAACCACUUCCUUUCCUUUAGUUUUUUUUUUUUUUUUUUUUUUUGGAAAGGGGAAACGGUACUCAUUAUAUACACGAGUCUCAUAAGUACGAAAUAAGUACCUUUUGAAAUCGAAUCCCAAGGAAGAAUAAGCUCUAGACCAAAUCAUCGCAUCCUCCCUGUAGCUUCCGAAUCUCCGUCUUCGUGGCAGGAAACUCUGUCGUUCCUUUCUCUCCGACGUUUUUGCACAUAGCUGCUAAUUUGAGAAAAGGAAAAAGAGAAUGCAUGAGGUCUGAAAAGAGGAUAGGGUUUAAGGGUAGGAACCACUAAAAGUGAGUGGCCAUUCAGGAUCAGCAGAGAGUGGUAAAAAGGGAUAAGAAGUCCUGAAUGUAUAUGCUCGUUUCCCCGAUCUAACACCUCUUCAUGAGAAAGAAUUAUGUUCAGGUUAGAUAGUCCAAAUAUAAUAGAGUUAACUUCAGAUCAAACAAAGUCUCCCCGGUAGAGACUUCAGGGGGAAAGAUCCCGUUGAGAGUUUCUAGGUAUUGUCUGUUCUUAGCGAGUCCUGCAAAACUUGUCACUUAGGAAAUGAGUUAGAACAUAUGAACGGUUGGUUUCAUCAUAUGAUAAGGUCAUCAUUCUACUGGUUUUGACUCAAUAAAACUUUGACUCGAUAAAACAUCUUAAUUACCUAAAAUUUCUUGAUGUAAAAAUGGAAAAAGUUCUCAAGUCAACAAAUAAAGAGUAGCAUUAGUACGAAUCCCCCCAGACUUAAAUCACACCGUCCUCGGUGGGAAAAUAGUAUGGGAAGAGUAAGAAAAAGAAAGAUAGGGUUAAGAACAAUGUCACCUUGGUGUGGCGACUAACCGUAUAUUCUUCUUCAGUACUUACUUGUAAUCGAUUUAACUUGGGUAAGUUAAUCGAGAUCGGCAAUAUAAAUCUUUAGAUGCAUCUU
Molecule: long non-coding RNA, 27532 nt
Filed under: Arabidopsis lyrata
Lineage: Eukaryota; Viridiplantae; Streptophyta; Magnoliopsida; Brassicales; Brassicaceae
Description: long non-coding RNA (ALYR_LNC001692)
Source: RNAcentral